CUACAUGAAGCCGGAAUCGCUAGUAAUCGCGGAUCAGAAUGCCGCGGUGAAUACGUUCCCGGGUCUUGUACACACCGCCCGUCACACCAUGGGAGUCGGAAAUGCCCGAAGUCUGUGACCCAACCUGAGAGGGAGGGAGCAGCCGAAGGCAGGUCUGAUGACUGGGGUGAAGUCGUAACAAGGUAGC
This 187-nucleotide ribosomal RNA is filed under the name uncultured bacterium. Its description in RNAcentral is "partial 16S ribosomal RNA". It matches the Rfam family "Bacterial small subunit ribosomal RNA", at positions 1316 to 1500 of the family's 1533-position model. The record is from RNAcentral.